CGGAACGAUCCUAGCUUGCUAGGAGGCGUCGAGCGGCGGACGGGUGAGUAACGCGUGAGAAUCUACCCAUGAGUGGGGGACAACCCGGGGAAACUCGGGCUAAUACCGCAUACGCCCUACGGGGUAAAGCAGGGGACCUUCGGGCCUUGCGCUGAUGGAUGAGCUCGCGUCGGAUUAGCUUGUUGGUGAGGUAAAGGCUCACCAAGGCGACGAUCCGUAGCUGGUCUGAGAGGAUGAUCAGCCACACCGGGACUGAGACACGGCCCGGACUCCUACGGGAGGCAGCAGUGGGGAAUCUUGGACAAUGGGGGCAACCCUGAUCCAGCCAUGCCGCGUGUGUGAAGAAGGCCUUCGGGUUGUAAAGCACUUUCAGUAGGGAGGAAGGCUUCGGCUUAAUACGCUGGAGUACUUGACGUUACCUACAGAAGAAGCACCGGCUAAUUUCGUGCCAGCAGCCGCGGUAAUACGAAAGGUGCAAGCGUUAAUCGGAAUUACUGGGCGUAAAGCGCGCGUAGGCGGUGUGUUAAGUCGGAUGUGAAAGCCCAGGGCUCAACCUUGGAAUUGCAUCCGAUACUGGCACGCUAGAGUGCAGUAGAGGGAGGUGGAAUUUCCGGUGUAGCGGUGAAAUGCGUAGAGAUCGGAAGGAACACCAGUGGCGAAGGCGGCCUCCUGGACUGACACUGACGCUGAGGUGCGAAAGCGUGGGGAGCAAACAGGAUU
Molecule: ribosomal RNA, 720 nt
Filed under: gamma proteobacterium GM72
Lineage: Bacteria; Pseudomonadati; Pseudomonadota; Gammaproteobacteria
Description: bacterial SSU rRNA
Rfam family: Bacterial small subunit ribosomal RNA
Source: RNAcentral